UACAGCCACUCUGGAAAACAGUAUGGAAGUUCCUCAAGACGUUAAAAAUAGAGCUACCCUAUGACUCAGCAAUUGCACUACUGGGGUAUUUACCCCAAAGAUACAGACGUAGUGGAGAGAAGGGGCACAUUCACCCAGAUCUUCAUAGAAGCAAUGUCCACAAUAGCCAAACUGUGGAAGGAGCCGAGGUGCCCUUCAACAGAUGAAUGGAGAAAGAAGAUGGGGACCUACUGGGUGGCACAGACUGACGAGUAAGACCUGUGCUAAGACAGACCAGAGCCCAGGAAGUCACCCUGGACAGUUCCAGCCUGAGGUCCUGCCUCCCUAGACGCACAACCUGAGCCACAGUCCUGCUGUGCUCCCUGAAGUUGCACACGCUCUUCUCGCUACCUGCAGGUAACCGCCCUGACGCCGUCAGCAUGAAGGACACAGGGUGCCUAGAACAUUCCACGUGUGGUCUACAAAAGCUAACGGACUUAGACUCAAGUUUCAACCCACCCUACGUACUCAUACAACUAAUAAACAAUUCUCC
Ailuropoda melanoleuca (giant panda) is the source of this 532-nucleotide long non-coding RNA. RefSeq lists it as uncharacterized. The transcript is spliced from 3 exons. Lineage: Eukaryota; Metazoa; Chordata; Mammalia; Carnivora; Ursidae. The record is from RefSeq and is a predicted model, not a curated record.